Dama dama (fallow deer) is the source of this 300-nucleotide long non-coding RNA. RefSeq lists it as uncharacterized. The record is from RefSeq and is a predicted model, not a curated record. Lineage: Eukaryota; Metazoa; Chordata; Mammalia; Artiodactyla; Cervidae. The transcript has 3 exons.
ACCUCCCAGAGGCUACCUCGGAAGAAAUGUUGCCACAGAACGGCUGUGGGCGGCGAAGGUACUGAGUUUACUCAGUUCUCAACAGCCGGAACAUAGCCAGGCUCCCAGACGACGCUGUCCGUAGAGAAGAGUACUUUCAUACAUGCAGCCCUGCAGAAGACACUCUCAAGAUCAGUGAGGUCACCACAUAUGAAGGUGUGUUUCUGCCAUUGAAUCAGUCAGAAGGGGCAGCAGCUGAGAGGAGCCACCCCACGCCAGAGGUCAGGGGCAGCGGCCGAGAGGACCUACCCCACAUACAAG